UACGUAGGGGGCAAGCGUUGUCCGGAAUCAUUGGGCGUAAAGAGCGUGUAGGCGGCCAGAUAAGUCCGCUGUGAAAUCUCGAGGCUCAACUUCGAGCUGUCGGUGGAAACUGUCUGGCUAGAGUCCGGAAGAGGAGAAUGGAAUUCCUGGUGUAGCGGUGAAAUGUGCAGAUAUCAGGAGGAACACCGAUGGCGAAGGCAGGUCUCUGGGCCACUACUGACGCUGAGAAGCGAAAGCAUGGGGAGCGAACAGG
This 253-nucleotide ribosomal RNA is filed under the name uncultured bacterium. RNAcentral's name for it is "partial 16S ribosomal RNA". It matches the Rfam family "Bacterial small subunit ribosomal RNA", at positions 524 to 776 of the family's 1533-position model. The record is from RNAcentral.